This 72-nucleotide transfer RNA is filed under the name Porphyra crispata. RNAcentral describes it as "tRNA-Glu". It matches the Rfam family "tRNA". Rfam says of the family: Transfer RNA (tRNA) molecules are approximately 80 nucleotides in length. Their secondary structure includes four short double-helical elements and three loops (D, anti-codon, and T loops). The record is from RNAcentral. RNAcentral also lists the same sequence under 1 other name. Lineage: Eukaryota; Rhodophyta; Bangiophyceae; Bangiales; Bangiaceae.
GCUCUUAUCGUCUAACGGUCAGGACAGUGCUUUUUCAGAGCAUUAACGUGAGUUCAAAUCUCACUAAGAGUA